AUGAACGCUGGCGGCGUGCCUAAUACAUGCAAGUCGAGCGAACAGACGAGGAGCUUGCUCCUCUGACGUUAGCGGCGGACGGGUGAGUAACACGUGGAUAACCUACCUAUAAGCCUGGGAUAACUUCGGGAAACCGGAGCUAAUACCGGAUAAUAUAUUGAACCGCAUGGUUCAAUAGUGAAAGACGGUUUUGCUGUCACUUAUAGAUGGAUCCGCGCCGCAUUAGCUAGUUGGUAAGGUAACGGCUUACCAAGGCAACGAUGCGUAGCCGACCUGAGAGGGUGAUCGGCCACACUGGAACUGAGACACGGUCCAGACUCCUACGGGAGGCAGCAGUAGGGAAUCUUCCGCAAUGGGCGAAAGCUUGACGGAGCAACGCCGCGUGAGUGAUGAAGGUCUUCGGAUCGUAAAACUCUGUUAUUAGGGAAGAACAAAUGUGUAAGUAACUAUGCACGUCUUGACGGUACCUAAUCAAAAAGCCACGGCUAACUACGUG
This 496-nucleotide ribosomal RNA is filed under the name uncultured bacterium. RNAcentral describes it as "partial 16S ribosomal RNA". It matches the Rfam family "Bacterial small subunit ribosomal RNA", at positions 29 to 507 of the family's 1533-position model. The record is from RNAcentral.